RNAcentral lists this ribosomal RNA (511 nucleotides) under uncultured bacterium. Its description in RNAcentral is "bacterial SSU rRNA". It matches the Rfam family "Bacterial small subunit ribosomal RNA", at positions 34 to 518 of the family's 1533-position model. The record is from RNAcentral.
CGCUGGCGGCGUGCCUAAUACAUGCAAGUCGAACGGUCUUUCUAUGGAAGCUUGCUUCCACUGAGAAGAUAGUGGCGAACGGGUGAGUAACACGUGGGUAACCUGCCCAUAAGAGGGGGAUAACAUCCGGAAACGGGUGCUAAUACCGCAUAGUUUUCUUGAUCGCAUGAUCGGGAAAGGAAAGACGGCCUUUGUGCUGUCGCUUAUGGAUGGACCCGCGGCGUAUUAGUUAGUUGGUGAGGUAACGGCUCACCAAGACGAUGAUACGUAGCCGACCUGAGAGGGUGAUCGGCCACAUUGGGACUGAGACACGGCCCAAACCCCUACGGGAGGCAGCAGUAGGGAAUCUUCCGCAAUGGACGAAAGUCUGACGGAGCAACGCCGCGUGAGUGAAAGAAGGUUUUCGGAUCGUAAAACUCUGUUGUCAGAGAAGAACAAGUUGGAGAGUAACUGCUCCAGCCUUGACGGUAUCUGACCAGAAAGCCACGGCUAACUACGUGCCAGCCGCCGC